GAUCAUGGCUCAGGACGAACGCUGGCGGCGUGCCUAACACAUGCAAGUCGAACGGAAGCAGAGAUUUCGGUUUUUGCUUUAGUGGCGAACGGGUGGGUAACGCGUGAGGAACCUGCCUUUCAGUGGGGGACAACAGUUGGAAACGACUGCUAAUACCGCAUAAUGCUUUUUGAUGGUAUCAUUGAAAAGCCAAAAGAUUUAUUGCUGAAAGAUGGCCUCGCGUCUGAUUAGCUAGUUGGUGGGGUAACGG
Molecule: ribosomal RNA, 250 nt
Filed under: uncultured bacterium
Lineage: Bacteria
Description: partial 16S ribosomal RNA
Rfam family: Bacterial small subunit ribosomal RNA
Source: RNAcentral